GUGCCCAGCCUUCGGCUUGGAACUCGGGGACAUCACCGAUGAGCUCAGCAAUUCCUAUUGGCUACUUCAGGCAUGGCCCCAUCCCCAAAUGUGAACGUCACAAUGCGGAAGUCGUCCAUGUCGGUGAAAUAUCUGGGAGCGAAGCAAUUUCUUCCCCUUUUCCAUUUUUUUUUCGUGGUGGUGGGGGAAUGUUCACGUGCAGCAACUGAGUGGAGAGGAAGUAAAUCCAGGAAGGGAACAUACUCUGAAAGUGUUGGUUCAGGUAACUGAACCUGUGGUUUUUACAAACAUCAUCAGAAAUAGCGUCAGAAAGCAUGGUUUGGAUUUAGAUAACAAUAGCAUCAAAAUCCAACAUGGACAAUUACUCGGGAACACUCUUGUUUAACCAAUCCUUAUAAACUUCAAAAUCACUUUA
Long non-coding RNA from Rhincodon typus (whale shark), 415 nucleotides. RefSeq lists it as uncharacterized. The transcript has 2 exons. NCBI's taxonomy places the organism in Eukaryota, Metazoa, Chordata, Chondrichthyes, Orectolobiformes, Rhincodontidae. The record is from RefSeq and is a predicted model, not a curated record.